AAGCCUUAGUAAAUAUUUACUCCUUUAGAAUUGCAGUCUAAUAUCAUUAUUGACUAUAAAGCC
This 63-nucleotide transfer RNA is filed under the name Lucilia shenyangensis. RNAcentral describes it as "tRNA-Cys". The record is from RNAcentral. Lineage: Eukaryota; Metazoa; Arthropoda; Insecta; Diptera; Calliphoridae.